Molecule: ribosomal RNA, 495 nt
Filed under: uncultured bacterium
Lineage: Bacteria
Description: partial 16S ribosomal RNA
Rfam family: Bacterial small subunit ribosomal RNA
Source: RNAcentral
GACGAACGCUGGCGGCGUGCCUAAUACAUGCAAGUAGAACGCUGAAGGAGGAGCUUGCUUCUCUGGAUGAGUUGCGAACGGGUGAGUAACGCGUAGGUAACCUGCCUGGUAGCGGGGGAUAACUAUUGGAAACGAUAGCUAAUACCGCAUAAGAGUAGAUGUUGCAUGACAUUUGCUUAAAAGGUGCAAUUGCAUCACUACCAGAUGGACCUGCGUUGUAUUAGCUAGUUGGUGGGGUAACGGCUCACCAAGGCGACGAUACAUAGCCGACCUGAGAGGGUGAUCGGCCACACUUGGACUGAGACACGGCCCAGACUCCUACGGGAGGCAGCAGUAGGGAAUCUUCGGCAAUGGACGGAAGUCUGACCGAGCAACGCCGCGUGAGUGAAGAAGGUUUUCGGAUCGUAAAGCUCUGUUGUAAGAGAAGAACGAGUGUGGGAGUGGAAAGUUCACACUGUGACGGUAUCUUACCAGAAAGGGACGGCUAACUACGUG